AAACCAUAUGCAUCAGUCCAGAAAACCCAGAAAAAGAUGCUACUCUGAGACGUCGACAUCAACCACCCUCACGUCUCUUUUUCCCCCUUUCGCGGAAGUCACAAUUUUUUCCCAUCUCUUUACACUGUUGCCUUGAAAAGGGAAUAUGAAUUCGAAUUUCAAAUUCAAAAUUUCGACCGUUUCCCCCCUAAAUCAACCUCAAAUCCCUCUAUAUAAACCUCCAUCUUCUUUAAUACUUGGGGUGGGGAAAAGAGAGGAGGAUUAAGAGAAGUUG
This 274-nucleotide long non-coding RNA is filed under the name Solanum tuberosum (potato). RNAcentral describes it as "long non-coding RNA (STUB_LNC001870)". The record is from RNAcentral. Lineage: Eukaryota; Viridiplantae; Streptophyta; Magnoliopsida; Solanales; Solanaceae.